AACAUGGAGGGCACUUCUGAGUCAACCACCCUGGACAACAUGGAGGGCACUUCUGAGUCAACCACCCUGGACAACAUGGAGGGCACUCCUGAGUCAACCACCUUGGAUAACGUACACAUGAGCAACACACAACCAAGACAUGGUAAAAUAGUCACAUCCCAAGCAUCCUCAAAGUGCUCCAAAGGAAAGCAAGCUGUGAAGGUGAGAAGCAAGUGGACAGGUGAUGAAGUGAAAGCUGUUGAGCGGCAUUUGCUUCAUUUCAUAACAAGCUGCAGAAUACCAGGUAAAAAGGACUGUGACUCCUGCCUCCAAGCAGAGCCAGUAGCUCUGAAAGACAGAGACUGGGUUGCUAUCAAAUACUACAUCCACAACAGAAACGUAGCAUUAAAAAGGAAGAUGAAUAGAUAGAACUAGAGCAUGCCAACUGUAGCUCAGGUACCAUUCAAUUCCAAUUUCAAUCAGCUUCUCCUCAGAUAGUGUUAAUAUCUGUGGGUUUCAUGUUCAUAUUAUUUUAUUUUCCUUAAAUGAUUUAUAUUGUUGGUUCUUGUACAAACAUGCCACAUAGGCUCGACUGUAGAUCCCACAUGUUCGUAUGUUUAUGUAUAAUUGAGGGCUAUUAAUGAGCAUAUGUUUGCCACUUAUGGUCAAAUUUUUUUUGGAAUAACAGUUGAUGAUAUAGAUUAAUACUCUGCUCUCAUUGACAGGGAAAAGAGAUAAACAGUACUUAAAGGGAUUGUUAUUGUUCUUAAGUUUUCAGAAGCACUUUGUUCUUAACCACAAGUUGUUGAAUGUGGCAAGGUGUUUAAAUUACUGUUAAACUAUUACCAUUUCAAUGGGUGCUUGUAACAGGCCUCGUGUAUGGUAACUUGCACUAUGUAACUAUGAUGUAAAUCCCUACGUUAUUUAGACAGGUUAGCUGAUUGUACACUGUCAUGUUUCAUAGAAGCUGGAUGCUUUAAUAGAGAGUUUCUCAUUCAUUUCAAACAUGCCAUUUCUACUGCCUUGUGCAUAGCAGGGAGAGGCAAAGUGUAGGUGGUCUAUUCUGGGUGUUCAAUUGAUUUGUUAAUUUGCAUAUUUUCGCUGGCACUCAAUAAAAGUAAGGCAUAAAGUGUU
This is a long non-coding RNA of Coregonus clupeaformis (lake whitefish), 1113 nucleotides long. RefSeq lists it as uncharacterized. NCBI's taxonomy places the organism in Eukaryota, Metazoa, Chordata, Actinopteri, Salmoniformes, Salmonidae. The transcript is spliced from 2 exons. The record is from RefSeq and is a predicted model, not a curated record.